This 460-nucleotide ribosomal RNA is filed under the name uncultured bacterium. RNAcentral describes it as "partial 16S ribosomal RNA". It matches the Rfam family "Bacterial small subunit ribosomal RNA", at positions 338 to 795 of the family's 1533-position model. The record is from RNAcentral.
CCUACGGGAGGCAGCAGUGAGGAAUAUUGGUCAAUGGACGAGAGUCUGAACCAGCCAAGUAGCGUGAAGGAUGACUGCCCUAUGGGUUGUAAACUUCUUUUAUAUGGGAAUAAAAUGUUCCACGUGUGGGAUUUUGUAUGUACCAUAUGAAUAAGGAUCGGCUAACUCCGUGCCAGCCGCCGCGGUAAUACGGAGGAUCCGAGCGUUAUCCGGAUUUAUUGGGUUUAAAGGGAGCGUAGGUGGAUUGUUAAGUCAGUUGUGAAAGUUUGCGGCUCAAACGUAAAAUUGCAGUUGAAACUGGCAGUCUUGAGUACAGUAGAGGUAGGCGGAAUUCGUGGUGUAGCGGUGAAAUGCUUAGAUAUCACGAAGAACGCCGAUUGCGAAGGCAGCUCACUGGACUGCAACUGACACUGAGGCUCGAAAGUGUGGGUAUCAAACAGGAUUAGAUACCCGAGUAGUC